GAUGAACGCUGGCGGCGUGCUUAACACAUGCAAGUCGAACGGACAGGCUCCUGCUUGCCGGGGUACUCGAGUGGCGAACGGGUGAGUAACACGUGGGUGAUCUGCCCUGCACUUCGGGAUAAGCCUUGGAAACUGGGUCUCAUACCGGAUAGGACGAUGUUUUGGAUGCCAUUGUGGAAAGUUUUUCGGUGUGGGAUGAGCUCUCGGACUAUCAGCUUCUUGGUGAGGUAAUGGCCUACCAAGGCGUCGACGGGUAGCCGGCCUGAGAGGGGGUACGGCCACAUUGGGACUGAGAUACGGCGCAGAAUCCUACGGGAGGCAGCGGUGGGGAAUAUGGCACAAUGGGGGCGAGCCUGAGGCAGCGACGCCGGGUGGGGGAUGACGGCCUUCGGGUUGUGAACUCCUUUCGCUGGAGACGAAGCGCAAGUGACGGUACCUGGAGAAGAAGCACCGGCUAACUACGUG
RNAcentral lists this ribosomal RNA (465 nucleotides) under uncultured bacterium. RNAcentral's name for it is "partial 16S ribosomal RNA". It matches the Rfam family "Bacterial small subunit ribosomal RNA", at positions 28 to 507 of the family's 1533-position model. The record is from RNAcentral.